AAGAUUUUAAGUUAAAAUAAAAACUAUUAACCUUCAAAGUUAAAUAUAUAAUAAUAAAUUAUAAGCCUUA
Molecule: transfer RNA, 70 nt
Filed under: Eoscarta assimilis
Lineage: Eukaryota; Metazoa; Arthropoda; Insecta; Hemiptera; Cercopidae
Description: tRNA-Trp
Source: RNAcentral